This 503-nucleotide ribosomal RNA is filed under the name uncultured bacterium. RNAcentral describes it as "partial 16S ribosomal RNA". It matches the Rfam family "Bacterial small subunit ribosomal RNA", at positions 30 to 523 of the family's 1533-position model. The record is from RNAcentral.
AUUGAACGCUGGCGGCAGGCUUAACACAUGCAAGUCGAGCGGGGUGAUGGUGCUUGCACUAUCACUUAGCGGCGGACGGGCGAGUAAUGCUUAGGAAUCUGCCUAUUAGUGGGGGACAACAUCUCGAAAGGGAUGCUAAUACCGCAUACGUCCUACGGGAGAAAGCAGGGGAUCACUUGUGACCUUGCGCUAAUAGAUGAGCCUAAGUCGGAUUAGCUAGUUGGUGGGGUAAAGGCCUACCAAGGCGACGAUCUGUAGCAGGUCUGAGAGGAUGAUCCGCCACACUGGGACUGAGACACGGCCCAGACUCCUACGGGAGGCAGCAGUGGGGAAUAUUGGACAAUGGGGGGAACCCUGAUCCAGCCAUGCCGCGUGUGUGAAGAAGGCCUUAUGGUUGUAAAGCACUUUAAGCGAGGAGGAGGCUCUUUUGGUUAAUACUCAAGAUGAGUGGACGUUACUCGCAGAAUAAGCACCGGCUAACUCUGUGCCAGCAGCCGCAGUAA